Molecule: ribosomal RNA, 497 nt
Filed under: uncultured bacterium
Lineage: Bacteria
Description: partial 16S ribosomal RNA
Rfam family: Bacterial small subunit ribosomal RNA
Source: RNAcentral
GAUGAACGCUGGCGGCGUGCCUAAUACAUGCAAGUCGAGCGAACGGACGAGAAGCUUGCUUCUCUGAUGUUAGCGGCGGACGGGUGAGUAACACGUGGAUAACCUACCUAUAAGACUGGGAUAACUUCGGGAAACCGGAGCUAAUACCGGAUAAUAUUUUGAACCGCAUGGUUCAAAAGUGAAAGACGGUCUUGCUGUCACUUAUAGAUGGAUCCGCGCUGCAUUAGCUAGUUGGUAAGGUAACGGCUUACCAAGGCAACGAUGCAUAGCCGACCUGAGAGGGUGAUCGGCCACACUGGAACUGAGACACGGUCCAGACUCCUACGGGAGGCAGCAGUAGGGAAUCUUCCGCAAUGGGCGAAAGCCUGACGGAGCAACGCCGCGUGAGUGAUGAAGGUCUUCGGAUCGUAAAACUCUGUUAUUAGGGAAGAACAUAUGUGUAAGUAGAUGUGCACAUCUUGACGGUACCUAAUCAGAAAGCCACGGCUAACUACGUG